This 73-nucleotide transfer RNA is filed under the name Poeciliopsis monacha (headwater livebearer). RNAcentral describes it as "tRNA-Thr". Lineage: Eukaryota; Metazoa; Chordata; Actinopteri; Cyprinodontiformes; Poeciliidae. RNAcentral also lists the same sequence under 1 other name. The record is from RNAcentral.
CGGUCUUGUAAACCGAAGGUCGAGGGUUAAACUCCCCCCUACUGCUCAAAGAAGGAGGAAUUUAACCCCCGCC